Molecule: long non-coding RNA, 1510 nt
Organism: Oncorhynchus tshawytscha (Chinook salmon)
Lineage: Eukaryota; Metazoa; Chordata; Actinopteri; Salmoniformes; Salmonidae
Source: Ensembl
ACGUCUGAGAUUGAGUUAUUUGACAACAGCGACAUUUUCAUUGCAAAUAAAUUAGUCACACUGGCUUGGCAGUGAGAAAAUAAUAUGACAACGCUGAAGUGAGAGCAGAACAUGGACGUGGUUGUGCGCCAUAACCACAGAGGACACCAGGAGUUUGCUGUCCAGGCCGAGCACUUGAAACUGCCGUACCUAGGACUUAGACUGAAAGCUCAGGGCAUUCACAAUAAGUACCUCUUCAAAGACAACAUCCCAGAAUACCCAAGGCCAGAGUUCUGGGUUUCCCAGCUCAGACACGACACGAAUGAAGGUGGGCUAUUUGGCAUAGCCGUCGAAAGCGAAGGGGGGUUCUGUGCUAGGGACGGAGAAGAGGGGCCAGAGGACCCAGAAGAGGGGCCAGAGGGUUUGGACCUGCUGUGGUGGAGCUUGUCUUUGGGAGCAGAGGAGAUGGCCUUGGCUGAACAACGUCUGCUCCAGACCAGGUACCCUGACAGGACAGAGGAGCAGGCCAGGGAGCAGAAAUCCUUCCUGCAGAGGUUCGCCACCUCACCUGCCUUCCUGAACACCUCUCGGCUGGGCUCCUACCGAUUCACCUUCCCCCUGGAGGAGCUGCUUAAGAGAUACCGGGAACAGCUAUGCGUUGGACACGAGCCAAUCCUGCGUGUGUAUGAGACAGUCCUGUACAAACAGGUGGUGAUGUACUCAGUGCUAGUCCACAGUCACUUCAACAACGACCUCUUUGAGAAGAGGACAAUGACGAUGGAGUCUGCGCUUACAGAGAUGGACAAAUCAUUUGGAGACCCGAGGCCAUGUGUGAGACACACAGCUUCAAACUGGUGCCAAAGCCCUACCAGAACCAGGAUGUAGCCCACCUGAUCCCUGAUCCACAGAAACACCAGUUCUACGUUUGGGACAACAUUGCUGUAGCGUUCCACAUGGACGGUUCACAGAUGUUGAACUUCGAUAUGUACAAUUUGAGAGGCCAUCUGAGAUUCUGUGAGCCAGGAACGCCACCAAUUUCCCCCACCUGUGAGUUGACCACAUACGAGGAGGCCAAAGACAUGGUAGACUGCUAUUGGCCUUACUACCAUACCCCCCUGUUCUGAUAAACUUAAUACCACACCCCCCUGUUCUGAUAAACUUAAUACCACACCCCCUGUUCUGAUAAACUUAAUACCACACCCCCUGUUCUGAUAAACUUACUACUACACCCCCCUGUUCUGAUAAACUUACUACUACACCCCCCUGUUCUUAUUUCUCCUAUUUCUUGAUUUGUUGUUUGGAUUGUUUUCAUGAUUGUGUAUUUGGAUUGUAUUUGCGAGACAUUCUACUGCACUGUUGGAGCUAGUAACACAAUCUUUUCCAUGCACCUGCCAUAACACCUGCAAAUCUGUGUACGUGACCAAUAAACUUUGAUUUGAUGAUGAUUUUGAAGUCAGGUAAAGUUAAAAUUGUUAUUCUUUCAACAUGCUUCACUGGUUUAAAACUUGAUAGGGACUUGGUCCCUGUGGCG